RNAcentral lists this transfer RNA (90 nucleotides) under Pseudomonadota bacterium. Its description in RNAcentral is "Proteobacteria bacterium (marine metagenome) tRNA-Ser". It matches the Rfam family "tRNA". Rfam says of the family: Transfer RNA (tRNA) molecules are approximately 80 nucleotides in length. Their secondary structure includes four short double-helical elements and three loops (D, anti-codon, and T loops). Further hydrogen bonds mediate the characteristic L-shaped molecular structure. tRNAs have two regions of fundamental functional importance: the anti-codon, which is responsible for specific mRNA codon recognition, and the 3' end, to which the tRNAs corresponding amino acid is attached (by aminoacyl-tRNA synthetases). tRNAs cope with the degeneracy of the genetic code in two manners: having more than one tRNA (with a specific anti-codon) for a particular amino acid; and 'wobble' base-pairing, i.e. permitting non-standard base-pairing at the 3rd anti-codon position. RNAcentral also lists the same sequence under 1 other name. Lineage: Bacteria; Pseudomonadati; Pseudomonadota. The record is from RNAcentral.
GGAGGGGUGGCCGAGUCUGGUUUAAGGCACCGGUCUUGAAAACCGGCGACCCGCAAGGGUCCGCGAGUUCGAAUCUCGCCCCCUCCGCCA